CUUCAAAGCAAUGUAGGAACGCUUCUGAUUCCGAGAAUAAAAGGUACCUACUUUUAAUGUGAAAUUUGGCCUGAAAUUCUUGAUUUAAGUGACUGUUGGAGGUUUCGGAUGGUAUUCCCCAUUUAUCUUCCUUGUAAAUAUAUAUUAAAGCUUGCAGAAAUCUUUUUGAGAGCUUACCUGCGACACUGAAUCGAUUUGUUGUUUAACAACUCUCAAAUUGGAAGCUUGCAACUUAUAGAGAUGCGGGGACGCUUUUGAUGCCAUUGCCAAGAAUAGAAGCUCUGAUAUUCUGUCAGCAGUCAUAAGCUUUGGCUGAUGAAGGCAGUGUGUUGUCUAUUGACUAUUGUGUAUAUCCGUAGUAAGUCAACAAGCCCUAAUCCCAGCUCCAUGAGCUCGGAGGAAACUUUGGAUCCACGCUCUGUUGGCGGAAACAGUAUGAUCUGUGACCGUGUGGUUAAUCGUAAUGCAUAGAAGGGACUGGUGGUGAAAGAUGGAGAAGAUGUACUAGGUAUAUGAUUUUGGCAAACACAGCUGCAUCACAUCAGAAGAUGCGGAGUUCGUUUCUUUAUAUACCAAUCGUGAGGAGGUGCAAACCAAAGCAUGGCGCAGCCUAAAAAAUCAUCAUGAAAACCCUGAGGCGGAAGUUGUUGGCAAAUUACAGUCACUGGCGGGGUUUCACUCAAUUGAUAGCGAAAAAUACUGGUAUUGUGUAUACUGGUAGCAAUUCACCAUGCCCUGAUCCCACUUCCUUGUUUUGGAAGCAACUUUGAAUUGCUGCGUUGUUGCUGGGAGGAUUGUGAUCUGUGACCGUGGGGUUAGUCCGAAACGCAGAAGGGACAGGUGGUAUGAAAUGCAUGGGGACUAGGUAUGAUCUUGGUAAACACAGGUUGCAAAUGGAAAGGGAGGUUGUUGCAGAUUACCAACUUGUUCCUGCUUUUGACACUUCACAGAACUGUCGCCAACGUUAGCCCUCCGGUUCCAAAUUACCACGCCAUAGUUUCGCCGUUGGAAGGUGCUUUCGUGAAAGUCGAGCCUCAGACGCUGAAAUGUAGAAUUAUCCAUGUUCAAAUUCAAAUCACAUUGAUGUUGAUCAAAACUAGAUUACAAUAAUUUCAUAAUUGUUCAGUUUCC
Molecule: long non-coding RNA, 1131 nt
Organism: Pyrus x bretschneideri (Chinese white pear)
Lineage: Eukaryota; Viridiplantae; Streptophyta; Magnoliopsida; Rosales; Rosaceae
Exons: 3
Source: RefSeq, a predicted model, not a curated record